AUUGAACGCUGGCGGCAGGCCUAACACAUGCAAGUCGAGCGGAUGAAGGGAGCUUGCUCCUGGAUUCAGCGGCGGACGGGUGAGUAAUGCCUAGGAAUCUGCCUGGUAGCGGGGGAUAACGUCCGGAAACGGGCGCUAAUACCGCAUACGUCCUGAGGGACAAAGUGGGGGAUCUUCGGACCUCACGCUAUCAGAUGAGCCUAGGGCGGAUUAGCUAGUUGGUGGGGUAAAGGCCUACCAAGGCGACGAUCAGUAACUGGUCUGAGAGGAUGAUCAGUCACACUGGAACUGAGACACGGUCCAGACUCCUACGGGAGGCAGCAGUGGGGAAUAUUGGACAAUGGGCGAAAGCCUGAUCCAGCCAUGCCGCGUGUGUGAAGAAGGUCUUCGGAUUGUAAAGCACUUUAAGUUGGGAGGAAGGGCAGUAAGUUAAUACCUUGCUGUUUUGACGUUACCAACAGAAUAAGCACCGGCUAACUUCGUG
RNAcentral lists this ribosomal RNA (484 nucleotides) under uncultured bacterium. Its description in RNAcentral is "partial 16S ribosomal RNA". It matches the Rfam family "Bacterial small subunit ribosomal RNA", at positions 30 to 507 of the family's 1533-position model. The record is from RNAcentral.